CUGACUGCUAUCGGAUUGAUACUAAGCCAUGCGAGUCAUUGUAGCAAUACAAGGCAGACGGCUCAGUAACGCGUAGUCAACCUAACCUAUGGACGGGAAUAACCUCGGGAAACUGAGAAUAAUGCCCGAUAGAACACUAUACCUGGAAUGGUUUGUGUUCCAAAUGAUUUAUCGCCGUAGGAUGGGACUGCGGCCUAUCAGUUUGUUGGUGAGGUAAUGGCCCACCAAGACUAUUACAGGUACGGGCUCUGAGAGGAGUAGCCCGGAGAUGGGUACUGAGACACGGACCCAGGCCCUAUGGGGCGCAGCAGGCGAGAAAACUUUGCAAUGUGCGAAAGCACGACAAGGUUAAUCCGAGUGGUUUGUGCUAAACGAACCUUUUGUCGGUCCUAGAAACACCGAUGAAUAAGGGGUGGGCAAGUUCUGGUGUCAGCCGCCGCGGUAAAACCAGCACCUCAAGUGGUCAGGAUGAUUAUUGGGCCUAAAGCAUCCGUAGCCGGCGCUGUAAGUUUUCGGUUAAAUCUGUACGCUCAACGUACAGGCUGCCGGGAAUACUGCAGCGCUAGGGAGUGGGAGAGGUAGACGGUACUCGGUGGGAAGGGGUAAAAUCCUUUGAUCUAUUGAUGACCACCUGUGGCGAAGGCGGUCUACCAGAACACGUCCGACGGUGAGGGAUGAAAGCUGGGGGAGCAAACCGGAUUAGAUACCCGGGUAGUCCCAGCUGUAAACUAUGCAAACUCAGUGAUGCAUUGACUUGUGGUCAAUGCAGUGCUGCAGGGAAGCCGUUAAGUUUGCCGCCUGGGAAGUACGUACGCAAGUAUGAAACU
This 827-nucleotide ribosomal RNA is filed under the name uncultured marine archaeon. RNAcentral describes it as "bacterial SSU rRNA". It matches the Rfam family "Archaeal small subunit ribosomal RNA", at positions 23 to 856 of the family's 1478-position model. The record is from RNAcentral.